This 253-nucleotide ribosomal RNA is filed under the name uncultured bacterium. RNAcentral's name for it is "partial 16S ribosomal RNA". It matches the Rfam family "Bacterial small subunit ribosomal RNA", at positions 524 to 776 of the family's 1533-position model. The record is from RNAcentral.
GACGUAGGGCGCGAGCGUUGUCCGGAUUUAUUGGGCGUAAAGAGCUCGUAGGCGGCUCAUUGCGUCAACCGUGAAAUCCUGCUGCUCAACGGCAGGUCUGCGGUUGAUACGGGUGGGCUGGAGUUCGGUAGGGGAGACUGGAAUUCCUGGUGUAGCGGUGAAAUGCGCAGAUAUCAGGAAGAACACCCGUGGCUAAGGCGGUUCUCUAGUACGGUACUGACGCUGAGACGCGAAAGCGUGGGGAGCGAACAGG